GAGAGGAGCUGUCCUUAGUACGAGAGGACCGGGAUGGACACACCGCUGGUGUACCAGUUGUUCUGCCAGGAGCAUAGCUGGGUAGCUACGUGUGGACGGGAUAAACGCUGAAAGCAUCUAAGCGUGAAGCCCCCCUCAAGAUGAGAUUUCCCAUUCGAAAGAAGUAAGAUCCCUUGAAGACGACAAGGUAGAUAGGUCAGAAGUGGAAGUGUGGUGACACAUGGAGCGGACUGAUACUAAUCGAUCGAGGACUUAACCAAA
RNAcentral lists this ribosomal RNA (261 nucleotides) under Bacillus cereus. RNAcentral describes it as "partial 23S ribosomal RNA". It matches the Rfam family "Bacterial large subunit ribosomal RNA", at positions 2664 to 2925 of the family's 2925-position model. Lineage: Bacteria; Bacillati; Bacillota; Bacilli; Caryophanales; Bacillaceae. The record is from RNAcentral.